AGCGUCCCAGAGGGCUUGUCUGCUACAGGGGCUCCCAGCGGCCUCCCGCACCGAAGGGACCCUGGGCGUCUGAGGCCCUGAUCCGGGCGGGCCUUCAGGAUGUUAGCAGUCCCUGUCCGGUUGAAGGCCUGCGGGGCGGGGGCGGGGUGGCGCCCAGGACGACUCCCCGGGCUCAGCUUGGCUGCCUGCCUCCUUCUGUAAGUGCUUUUUUUUUCUUCACCUGGGACCCUCUAGAGGUUGGAAAGAGAAGAGAGGCUGGGAGCGGAUGGAAAGCAUGACUGCAUCUGGAGCCCCUGGGGGGAGUGGGGAAGAGGGAGUGGAAGGACAGUGGCUGAGGGGCUUCCUGUUGCAGCCUUCAGCUGGACUCAGGGUUGGGGUCACUGGAGGAGGAGGUGGCUUCCUGCCCCAUUGUUCUGGACUGCAGUGUUUCUUGGGAAUACUUACUGUAUGUGGAUUUUCAGUAACCAACUUGGAAAGCUGUAUUUGUUCCCAUGAUUCAGCAAACAAUGAGUACCUACUGUGUGUAGAAGCAGCAGGACAGCCUGUCAUCACUGGGAAAGAGGCCAGAAGAGCCGUUUGGCCAGGGUCUC
RNAcentral lists this small RNA (590 nucleotides) under Homo sapiens (human). RNAcentral describes it as "ZNF436 antisense RNA 1 (ENSG00000283106.3)". Lineage: Eukaryota; Metazoa; Chordata; Mammalia; Primates; Hominidae. The record is from RNAcentral.